This 465-nucleotide ribosomal RNA is filed under the name Vreelandella stevensii. RNAcentral's name for it is "partial 16S ribosomal RNA". It matches the Rfam family "Bacterial small subunit ribosomal RNA", at positions 338 to 795 of the family's 1533-position model. Lineage: Bacteria; Pseudomonadati; Pseudomonadota; Gammaproteobacteria; Oceanospirillales; Halomonadaceae. The record is from RNAcentral.
CCUACGGGAGGCUGCAGUGGGGAAUAUUGGACAAUGGGGGCAACCCUGAUCCAGCCAUGCCGCGUGUGUGAAGAAGGCCCUCGGGUUGUAAAGCACUUUCAGUGAGGAAGAACGCCUGGUGGUUAAUACCCAUCAGGAAAGACAUCACUCACAGAAGAAGCACCGGCUAACUCCGUGCCAGCAGCCGCGGUAAUACGGAGGGUGCGAGCGUUAAUCGGAAUUACUGGGCGUAAAGCGCGCGUAGGUGGCUUGAUAAGCCGGUUGUGAAAGCCCCGGGCUCAACCUGGGAACGGCAUCCGGAACUGUCAAGCUAGAGUGCAGGAGAGGAAGGUAGAAUUCCCGGUGUAGCGGUGAAAUGCGUAGAGAUCGGGAGGAAUACCAGUGGCGAAGGCAGCCUUCUGGACUGACACUGACACUGAGGUGCGAAAGCGUGGGUAGCAAACAGGAUUAGAUACCCCUGUAGUC